RNAcentral lists this ribosomal RNA (258 nucleotides) under uncultured bacterium. RNAcentral's name for it is "partial 16S ribosomal RNA". It matches the Rfam family "Bacterial small subunit ribosomal RNA", at positions 96 to 354 of the family's 1533-position model. The record is from RNAcentral.
CGGCGGACGGGUGAGUAACGCGUGGAUAACCUGCCCCAUACCGGGGGAUAACAGUUAGAAAUGACUGCUAAUACCGCAUAAGCGCACGGAGCCGCAUGGCGCAGUGUGAAAAACUCCGGUGGUAUGGGAUGGAUCCGCGUCUGAUUAGCUAGUUGGCGGGGUAACGGCCCACCAAGGCAGCGAUCAGUAGCCGACCUGAGAGGGUGGCCGGCCACAUUGGGACUGAGACACGGCCCAAACUCCUACGGAAGGCAGCAG